UACGAAGGGGGCUAGCGUUGUUCGGAAUUACUGGGCGUAAAGGGCGCGUAGGCGGCCUUGAUAGUUGGGCGUGAAAGGCCUGGGCUUAACCCGGGAACUGCGUUCAAUACUGUAAGGCUAGAGUGUGGGAGAGGUUGGUGGAAUUCCCAGUGUAGAGGUGAAAUUCGUAGAUAUUGGGAAGAACACCGGUGGCGAAGGCGGCCAACUGGACCACAACUGACGCUGAGGCGCGAAAGCGUGGGGAGCAAACAGGAUUAGAUACCCUGGUAGUCCACGCUGUAAACUAUGUGUGCUUGACGUCGGGGGGCCUAGCCCUUCGGUGUCGGAGCUAACGCGGUAAGCACACCGCCUGGGGAGUACGGUCGCAAGAUUA
This 373-nucleotide ribosomal RNA is filed under the name uncultured bacterium. RNAcentral describes it as "bacterial SSU rRNA". It matches the Rfam family "Bacterial small subunit ribosomal RNA", at positions 524 to 896 of the family's 1533-position model. The record is from RNAcentral.